GAUGAACGCUGGCGGCGUGCCUAAUACAUGCAAGUCGAGCGAACAGACGAGGAGCUUGCUCCUCUGACGUUAGCGGCGGACGGGUGAGUAACACGUGGAUAACCUACCUAUAAGACUGGGAUAACUUCGGGAAACCGGAGCUAAUACCGGAUAAUAUAUUGAACCGCAUGGUUCAAUAGUGAAAGACGGUUUUGCUGUCACUUAUAGAUGGAUCCGCGCCGCAUUAGCUAGUUGGUAAGGUAACGGCUUACCAAGGCAACGAUGCGUAGCCGACCUGAGAGGGUGGUCGGCCACACUGGAACUGAGACACGGUCCAGACUCCUACGGGAGGCAGCAGUAGGGAAUCUUCCGCAAUGGGCGAGAGCCUGACGGAGCAACGCCGCGUGAGUGAUGAAGGUCUUCGGAUCGUAAAACUCUGUUAUUAGGGAAGAACAAAUGUGUAAGUAACUAUGCACGUCUUGACGGUACCUAAUCAGAAAGCCACGGCUAACUACGUG
This 497-nucleotide ribosomal RNA is filed under the name uncultured bacterium. Its description in RNAcentral is "partial 16S ribosomal RNA". It matches the Rfam family "Bacterial small subunit ribosomal RNA", at positions 28 to 507 of the family's 1533-position model. The record is from RNAcentral.